AUUGAACGCUGGCGGCAUGCUUUACACAUGCAAGUCGAACGGCAGCGCGGGCUUCGGCCUGGCGGCGAGUGGCGAACGGGUGAGUAUGCAUCGGAACGUGCCCAGUAUUGGGGGAUAGCCCGGCGAAAGCCGGAUUAAUACCGCCUACGACCUGAGGGUGAAAGCGGGGGACCGAAAGGCCUCGCGCUAUUGGAGCGGCCGAUGUCGGAUUAGCUAGUUGGUGGGGUAAAGGCUUACCAAGGCGACGAUCCGUAGCUGGUCUGAGAGGACGACCAGCCACACUGGGACUGAGACACGGCCCAGACUCCUACGGGAGGCAGCAGUGGGGAAUUUUGGACAAUGGGGGCAACCCUGAUCCAGCCAUGCCGCGUGCGGGAAGAAGGCCUUCGGGUUGUAAACCGCUUUUGUUCGGGAAGAAAUCCUCUGGGCUAAUACCCCGGGGGGAUGACGGUACCGGAAGAAUAAGCACCGGCUAACUACGUG
This 483-nucleotide ribosomal RNA is filed under the name uncultured bacterium. Its description in RNAcentral is "partial 16S ribosomal RNA". It matches the Rfam family "Bacterial small subunit ribosomal RNA", at positions 28 to 507 of the family's 1533-position model. The record is from RNAcentral.